Molecule: long non-coding RNA, 152 nt
Organism: Cervus elaphus (red deer)
Lineage: Eukaryota; Metazoa; Chordata; Mammalia; Artiodactyla; Cervidae
Exons: 4
Source: RefSeq, a predicted model, not a curated record
GUGAAAAUAAUUGGUGUAGAGACAAAAACAAUAGCAAAGAUAAAUGAAACUAAAAGGUAGUUCUCUGAAAAGAUAAACAUAAUUGAUAAACCAUUAGCCAAACUUACCAAGAUAAAAAGGAAGAGGACUCAAAUCAAUAAAAUAUGAAAUGA